AGUCGAGCGGUAGAGAGAAGCUUGCUUCUCUUGAGAGCGGCGGACGGGUGAGUAAUGCCUAGGAAUCUGCCUGGUAGUGGGGGAUAACGUUCGGAAACGGACGCUAAUACCGCAUACGUCCUACGGGAGAAAGCAGGGGACCUUCGGGCCUUGCGCUAUCAGAUGAGCCUAGGUCGGAUUAGCUAGUUGGUGAGGUAAUGGCUCACCAAGGCGACGAUCCGUAACUGGUCUGAGAGGAUGAUCAGUCACACUGGAACUGAGACACGGUCCAGACUCCUACGGGAGGCAGCAGUGGGGAAUAUUGGACAAUGGGCGAAAGCCUGAUCCAGCCAUGCCGCGUGUGUGAAGAAGGUCUUCGGAUUGUAAAGCACUUUAAGUUGGGAGGAAGGGCAUUAACCUAAUACGUUGGUGUUUUGACGUUACCGACAGAAUAAGCACCGGCUAACUCUGUGCCAGCAGCCGCGGUAAUACAGAGGGUGCAAGCGUUAAUCGGAAUUACUGGGCGUAAAGCGCGCGUAGGUGGUUCGUUAAGUUGGAUGUGAAAUCCCCGGGCUCAACCUGGGAACUGCAUUCAAAACUGACUAGCUAGAGUAUGGUAGA
RNAcentral lists this ribosomal RNA (600 nucleotides) under uncultured bacterium. RNAcentral describes it as "bacterial SSU rRNA". It matches the Rfam family "Bacterial small subunit ribosomal RNA", at positions 60 to 655 of the family's 1533-position model. The record is from RNAcentral.